GAGAGUUUGAUUCUGGCUCAGGAUGAACGCUAGCGGCAGGCCUAACACAUGCAAGUCGAGGGAGAGGUUACCUUCGGGUAACUGAAACCGGCGCACGGGUGCGUAACGCGUAUACAAUCUGCCUUUCACAUAGGGAUAGCCCGAAGAAAUUUGGAUUAAUACCUAAUGGUAUAUAAGAGCGGCAUCGUUUUUAUAUUAAAGCUACGGUGGUGAAAGAUGAGUAUGCGUUCUAUUAGCUAGUUGGAGAGGUAACGGCUCCCCAAGGCGACGAUAGAUAGGGGUUCUGAGAGGGAUGUCCCCCACACUGGUACUGAGAUACGGACCAGACUCCUACGGGAGGCAGCAGUGAGGAAUAUUGGACAAUGGUCGGAAGACUGAUCCAGCCAUGCCGCGUGCAGGAUGAAGGUCCUAUGGAUUGUAAACUGCUUUUGUAAGGGAAGAAUAAGGAGUACGUGUACUUUGAUGACGGUACCUUACGAAUAAGCAUCGGCUAACUCCGUGCCCGCAGCCGCGGUAAUACGGAGGAUGCGAGCGUUAUCCGGAAUCAUUGGGUUUAAAGGGUCCGUAGGCGGGCUGAUAAGUCAGAGGUGAAAGCGCUUAGCUCAACUAAGCAACUGCCUUUGAAACUGUCAGUCUUGAAUGAUUGUGAAGUAGUUGGAAUGUGUACUGUAGCGGUGAAAUGCUUAGAUAUUACACAGAACACCGAUAGCGAAGGCAUAUUACUAACAUUUUAUUGACGCUGAUGGACGAAAGCGUGGGGAGCGAACAGGAUUAGAUACCCUGGUAGUCCACGCUGUAAACGAUGGAUACUAGCUGUUUGGAGCAAUCUGAGUGGCUAAGCGAAAGUGAUAAGUAUCCCACCUGGGGAGUACGCACGCAAGUGUGAAACUCAAAGGUAUUGACCGGGGGCCCGCAUAAACGGUGGAGCAUGUGGUUUAAUUCGAUGAUACGCGAGGAACCCUUACCAGGUCUUGACAUCCCUNUGANCCUCUCUAGAGAUAGAGAUUUCCUUCGGGAACANAGGUGACAGGUGGUGCAUGGUUGUCGUCAAGCUCGUGUCGUGAGAUGUUGGGGUUAAGUCCCGCAACGAGCGCAACCCCUAUUGUUAGUUGCCAUCAUUCAGUUGGGCACUCUAGCGAGACUGCCGGUAAUAAACCGGAGGAAGGUGGGGAUGACGUCAAAUCAUCAUGCCCCUUAUGACCUGGGCUACACACGUGCUACAAUGGCUGGUACAACGAGUCGCAAGCCGGUGACGGCAAGCUAAUCUCUUAAAGCCAGUCUCAGUUCGGAUUGUAGGCUGCAACUCGCCUACAUGAAGUCGGAAUCGCUAGUAAUCGCGGAUCAGCACGCCGCGGUGAAUACGUUCCCGGGCCUUGUACACACCGCCCGUCACACCACGAGAGUUUGUAACACCCGAAGUCGGUGAGGUAACCGUAAGGAGCCACGCCGCCUAAGGUGGGAUAGAUGAUUGGGGUGAAGUCGUAACAAGGUAGCCGUAUCGGAAGGUGCGGCUGGAUCACCUCCUUC
RNAcentral lists this ribosomal RNA (1527 nucleotides) under Capnocytophaga sp. oral clone ASCH04. RNAcentral's name for it is "bacterial SSU rRNA". It matches the Rfam family "Bacterial small subunit ribosomal RNA". Lineage: Bacteria; Pseudomonadati; Bacteroidota; Flavobacteriia; Flavobacteriales; Flavobacteriaceae. The record is from RNAcentral.